UGUGACAUCACAGAAGAGGGUGACAUCAUUACAUAUGCCUCACUUAUGGCCAUACAUAGUACAGAAUCAAUUAAGGAUGAAGCCAUCUGGGAUGAAGUUCAUCUAAGGAUGAAGAGGAGAAUGAACAGGUUGAAAGGGAGAAGUACAGCAAAGAAGACUAGGCUAGUGUUAAGUGGGAAACAGUGAUCCUUAACCAAUGUUUGGAGCAGAAUGUAAAACCAGGAACUCCAUGAAUUCCAUCAGUCUUUGGUGGAGAAAAAUUAAGGAGGCAAAUUUUCAGCAGCCAGGGAAGACAGAAGGACUGCUAUGGGUAUUCCAAUUACCUUCAAACCUUCACUACUAAGUCAUUUGAAUUGAAACUGCUAAAUAUAGAGUUUCCUUUGGGUGCAUGUUUCCAAAGUUAAGCAGGAAGGAUUUUUACCCUUAGCUGCAACUUUGACUCUGCCAGCUCACAAAAUAGUGAAGGACGAGACUGUGCACAAGGUACUCCCAGUACAUCCAAAGGCACUGCCUGUGGAGUUCUGCAGUGAAUUGUCUGCCUACAGGGAAACCUUAGGAAAAGCUUUUAACAGAUUCCUGCAAGAAGAAUUAAAUAGUUCUUCAGAGAAGAGAUGGAAAGAGAAAAAAAAAAAUCUUUCCAUACCCAGCACCUGCUCCAGCCUCAUAUAACUGGAUGAUUAUAGCAUUCCUGUCUUAAAUCAUUCUCAAAAGGGGACCAAGUUUAAACUUUACAAACCUCAAACCCUAAUUUAACCAAAUAAAAUACCACUCAACCCCA
This 778-nucleotide long non-coding RNA is filed under the name Manacus vitellinus (golden-collared manakin). RNAcentral describes it as "lncRNA (ENSMVIG00005011616.1)". Lineage: Eukaryota; Metazoa; Chordata; Aves; Passeriformes; Pipridae. The record is from RNAcentral.